This 458-nucleotide ribosomal RNA is filed under the name uncultured bacterium. RNAcentral's name for it is "bacterial SSU rRNA". It matches the Rfam family "Bacterial small subunit ribosomal RNA", at positions 340 to 786 of the family's 1533-position model. The record is from RNAcentral.
UACGGGAGGCAGCAGUGGGGAAUAUUGCACAAUGGGCGCAAGCCUGAUGCAGCCAUGCCGCGUGUAUGAAGAAGGCCUUCGGGUUGUAAAGUACUUUCAGUCGUGAGGAAGGUGUUAAGGUUAAUAACCUUAGCAAUUGACGUUAGCGACAGAAGAAGCACCGGCUAACUCCGUGCCAGCAGCCGCGGUAAUACGGAGGGUGCGAGCGUUAAUCGGAAUUACUGGGCGUAAAGGGCACGCAGGCGGUUAAUUAAGUUGGAUGUGAAAUCCCCGGGCUUAAACCUGGGAAUGGCAUUCAAGACUGGUUAGCUAGAGUCUUGUAGAGGGGGUAGAAUUCCAUGUGUAGCGGUGAAAUGCGUAGAGAUGUGGAGGAAUACCGGUGGCGAAAGGCGGCCCCUGGACAAAAGACUGACGCUCAUGUGCGAAAAGCGUGGGGAGCAAAACAGGGAUUAGAUACC